This 1087-nucleotide ribosomal RNA is filed under the name human metagenome. RNAcentral's name for it is "bacterial LSU rRNA". It matches the Rfam family "Bacterial large subunit ribosomal RNA", at positions 999 to 2099 of the family's 2925-position model. The record is from RNAcentral.
UAAGAUCCGUAGUCGAAAGGGAAACAGCCCAGACCACCAGCUAAGGUCCCAAAAUAAUUGUUAAGUGGAAAAGGAUGUGGGGUUGCACAGACAACUAGGAUGUUAGCUUAGAAGCAGCUAUUCAUUCAAAGAGUGCGUAAUAGCUCACUAGUCGAGUGACCCUGCGCCGAAAAUGUACCGGGGCUAAAACAAUUUACCGAAGCUGUGGAUACCUUUAUAGGUAUGGUAGGAGAGCGUUCUAUGUGUGAUGAAGGUAUACCGUGAGGAGUGCUGGAACGCAUAGAAGUGAGAAUGCCGGUAUGAGUAGCGAAAGACAGGUGAGAAUCCUGUCCACCGUAAGACUAAGGUUUCCAGGGGAAGGCUCGUCCGCCCUGGGUUAGUCGGGACCUAAGGAGAGACCGAAAGGUGUAUCCGAUGGACAACAGGUUGAUAUUCCUGUACUAGAGUAUGUAGUGAUGGAGGGACGCAGUAGGCUAACUAAAGCAGACGAAUGGAAGAGUCUGUCUAAGCAGUGAGGUGUGAAUUGAGUCAAAUGCUUAGUUCUAUAACAUUGAGCUGUGAUGGGGAGCGAAGUUUAGUAGCGAAGUUAGUGACGUCACACUGCCAAGAAAAGCUUCUAGCGUUUAAACAUACUCUACCCGUACCGCAAACCGACACAGGUAGUCGAGGCGAGUAGCCUCAGGUGAGCGAGAGAACUCUCGUUAAGGAACUCGGCAAAAUGACCCCGUAACUUCGGGAGAAGGGGUGCUGACUUUACGUCAGCCGCAGUGAAUAGGCCCAAGCAACUGUUUAUCAAAAACACAGCUCUCUGCUAAAUCGUAAGAUGAUGUAUAGGGGGUGACGCCUGCCCGGUGCUGGAAGGUUAAGAGGAGUGCUUAGAGGUAACUCGAAGGUAUGAAUUGAAGCCCCAGUAAACGGCGGCCGUAACUAUAACGGUCCUAAGGUAGCGAAAUUCCUUGUCGGGUAAGUUCCGACCCGCACGAAAGGCGUAAUGAUUUGGGCACUGUCUCAACGAGAGACUCGGUGAAAUUUUAGUACCUGUGAAGAUGCAGGUUACCCGCGACAGGACGGAAAGACCCCAUGGAGC